CACUUCUGCAUACACAUGGCCUUAAGGAUCAGUGACCUUCAGAAGUUUCCAUGUCAGUUUUUUUGUUUUAAGGCUCAUCUGAACAAUCUGAACCAGCCAUUUCCCAGUGCUCAUCUAUGCAAACAGUCAUGUUGUUUACCGUUCUACCUGACAUAAGAACUUACAUCACCUUGCAGUGACUCACACAUCCUGUCAAUACUGAAGAAUAUCUGUGUCCCAAAGACCAGAGCCCAUACUCUAGAGACAGCCUGCCAAGGAUGAAAGAAGAGUAUAGAAUUUGUAAUUGAGGAAGAAACAAGUAUCCUAAUAUGACCAGCUAACACAUUUAAAGUGAUG
Molecule: non-coding RNA, 336 nt
Organism: Castor canadensis (American beaver)
Lineage: Eukaryota; Metazoa; Chordata; Mammalia; Rodentia; Castoridae
Source: RefSeq, a predicted model, not a curated record